UUAGAACAUGUAACAUUAUGCAUAUGGCGGCCUCUUCCUUCUCUCUUUCGUCCUCCUCUCCGUCGAAUCCAAUUUUAAUCAUUUCAGAACCCAUUUUUGUCUAUGUUGCUUUGUCCACUACACUUUUACCCUCCAUCGCUGCUGCAUCUUCAACAGAAUCGAAGGUUCCAAGCUACACACGCGCCUUCUUCCUCACGCUAUAGAACCGCAUUUCGCGAACGUUGUUUCCCUAUUGUCGAUGCUCCUAGCCUGUGCGACGAUUUCCGAUCCUCUUGCUCUCUAACGACACUCUUCUCCAGUAACAUCUCCUAUGAUGAUGUCUCCUCUAACUUCCUCUCCUUGCCGUCCUAGCUCUGUGUCUUUUCCGCCAUCAGCACCUCCCUUUCGUUCUGAAUAUGGAAGUUUCUGCUGUGGUCUGAGGGAUCGCCAUUCUCAACCUCAAUGCUGUCCAAGGAGGGUAGAAUAUGCUAUCCAAGUUGGUGCCACAAGAAGAACAAGUCAGAGGCUAGUGUGUUAGUUCAGCAUGUAGCAAUUGUCUGGUUUUCAUGUUGAGAAUAGACUCAAGGAAGAGGUUCUGAAGUGGGAAGAUGCAGAAAUCGGAGAGCUAAAAGAAGGCGAGGUGCGCACGAGGAACAAAGCCAUUGGCCUUAAUUUUAUCGAUGUCUACUUUCAGAAAGUUUAUAAAGCCCUCUCAUUGCCUUUCACACCAGGUUUUUGGAGUUUAUUUACCUCUUAUCAAUUGAUCUGUCAUAAAACACUUAUGCCAAUGCCAAAAAAAAAGAAAAUAAAAAGAAGA
Molecule: non-coding RNA, 796 nt
Organism: Arachis ipaensis
Lineage: Eukaryota; Viridiplantae; Streptophyta; Magnoliopsida; Fabales; Fabaceae
Source: RefSeq, a predicted model, not a curated record